This 76-nucleotide transfer RNA is filed under the name Succinatimonas hippei. Its description in RNAcentral is "tRNA-Gly". It matches the Rfam family "tRNA". From Rfam's summary of the family: Transfer RNA (tRNA) molecules are approximately 80 nucleotides in length. Their secondary structure includes four short double-helical elements and three loops (D, anti-codon, and T loops). RNAcentral also lists the same sequence under 3 other names. The record is from RNAcentral. Lineage: Bacteria; Pseudomonadati; Pseudomonadota; Gammaproteobacteria; Aeromonadales; Succinivibrionaceae.
GCGGGCAUAGCUCAGUUGGUAGAGCAUAACCUUGCCAUGGUUAGGGUCGCGAGUUCGAACCUCGUUGCCCGCUCCA